GUGUCGCAAUGGGUGGCGGCGGAAUGCUGAUAUCUGUUUGUCCCGUCAAGUUCACUUUCCUAUUUGAGCUGGAUAAACCGUGCUAUUGCAAUCUCAAGGUGGCGAUCAACAGCAAGCAUCAUGUUGCAUUCAAGGUGAAGACACAUCACCGAGGAAGUAUUUCGUCCGGCUGAACAUGACCAUAGUCCAACCAUGGAAUUCUUGCACUGUAAGAAGUAAACACCUGCUUCCAGUUUGGCCAUUAUGUUACGCUGCAGGCGCAGAAAGAGUACCCUCCACAUAUGCCAUGCAAAGAUAAGUUCUUCAUUCAGAGCACUAAGGUAGCUGUCAGUACUAACAUGGACGAGAUUCCCCUUGGUACAGUGAGCAUAAAAUGCAAAUAUAUCAUCUACAAGCUUUAGUGACGCAUUAUUGUUGCGAACAGACGACUACUGACCCACCACAAUAAUUCAUUUUGUAUUGGCCCAGUUCAACAAAGAAGUUGAUAAGAAAGCAGGAGCUUCAGAUCAGGGUCUGAUGAUCUUGCGGUGAGAAUAUAUACUAUAAUGGAAACUUGUGUCACGCUGAUUAACCUUCUGCACAGAGGACUCAUAUGUUUUACACUGUGCUUUGCUGAAAAAUGCAAGCAUGGAGGAGGUAAUGCAUUUGAUCUUAAAGGCAUUUCUCAUUCUACUGGGGAACUGCAACAAAAUAAUACGACAGCAAAUAGAUCUGUGAUAAACUCUGACAAGAAAGUAUCAUGCUAUUUUAGGCAUUACCAUAAUUCAUGGCAUCGUAAAGUUGCCUUUUGCAUAAAUAUUCUGUUACCCUACAUUUUUACUUUUAGUGAGAAAAAUAAUCAUAAUUUGCCAUUGCUCCAUAAGAGUUCAAAUGCAACACACCUGCAAAGUGGUAUUGAGAUACUCCUAUUGAUUUGUUCAUGCAAGUCUUAACACUAGGAAGAUAGUGAAGCAACAACAUAUGGUGGCUAAAAUAACUGUUGGACUUGAGAAAAGCUUCCUACACUUACUGAGGUCAUAAUUGAGGGCAGGAGUGAGGUCCCAGAGGUCUAUGAGCAGGUUGCGUUUGCACUUGUUAAGUGUGCACUGGGACCAGAAUUUGAAUUUAUUUUCGUUUUGACCAUUGCUGCAAAGGACUCACAAAAGAAUCAGUCUAUGAAUGAAAUAUUACCUGCAAUGGAUACAAUCAAAUGUUGUGGUUGGGAGCAAAGUUUUUAGUCAAAAGUGCAGUACAUCCGUGAUGAUGAGCUUUCAUGGUUCCGCAGUGCUCAGCUGUUUGCUGCGCUGACUAGCUUCCUCCUCAACAGUAUCCCGACCAUUGUUACUGUGGUAUCAUUUGGCCCUUUUGUUUGGUACUCAAUAGUCACUUUACCUGUUUUUUCAAUUUAAAUUCGACAGGUUGUUAAUUGUAAGGUGUUGUUGAAACGUCUGCAAGAUCUCCUGGCUGAAGAGAAUACUUCUGGCCAAUCCACCUAUUCAUCCCAAGCUUCUGGCAAUUUCUAUUAAGAACAGAUAUUUUGCAUGUGGAAUCACAGCUACAUCAGUGU
This is a long non-coding RNA of Oryza brachyantha (malo sina), 1546 nucleotides long. RefSeq lists it as uncharacterized. The record is from RefSeq and is a predicted model, not a curated record. NCBI's taxonomy places the organism in Eukaryota, Viridiplantae, Streptophyta, Magnoliopsida, Poales, Poaceae. The transcript has 7 exons.